CGACCGGCGCACGGGUGAGUAACACGUAUGCAACCUGGCCGUCACACGGUGGAGUAACCGGAAGAAAUUCCGACUAAUACAGCAUAACACUCCUGAGGGACAUCCUUCGGGAGUCAAAGGAGGCAACUCCGGUGGACGGAUGGGCAUGCGGCGCAUUAGGUAGUUGGUAGGGUAACGGCCUACCAAGCCGACGAUGCGUAGGGGUUCUGAGAGGAAGGUCCCCCACAUUGGAACUGAGACACGGUCCAAACUCCUACGGAAGGCAGCAG
This 269-nucleotide ribosomal RNA is filed under the name uncultured bacterium. RNAcentral describes it as "partial 16S ribosomal RNA". It matches the Rfam family "Bacterial small subunit ribosomal RNA", at positions 92 to 354 of the family's 1533-position model. The record is from RNAcentral.